GACGAACGCUGGCGGCGUGCCUAAUACAUGCAAGUUGAGCGCUGAAGGUUGGUACUUGUACCAACUGGAUGAGCAGCGCACGGGUGAGUAACGCGUGGGGAAUCUGCCUUUGAGCGGGGGACAACAUUUGGAAACGAAUGCUAAUACCGCAUAAAAACUUUAAACACAAGUUUUAAGUUUGAAAGAUGCAAUUGCAUCACUCAAAGAUGAUCCCGCGUUGUAUUAGCUAGUUGGUGAGGUAAAGGCUCACCAAGGCGAUGAUACAUAGCCGACCUGAGAGGGUGAUCGGCCACAUUGGGACUGAGACACGGCCCAAACUCCUACGGGAGGCAGCAGUAGGGAAUCUUCGGCAAUGGACGAAAGUCUGACCGAGCAACGCCGCGGGAGUGAAGAAGGUUUUCGGAUCGUAAAACUCUGUUGGUAGAGAAGAACGUUGGUGAGAGUGGAAAGCUCAUCAAGUGACGGUAACUACCCAGAAAGGGACGGCUAACUACGUG
Molecule: ribosomal RNA, 497 nt
Filed under: uncultured bacterium
Lineage: Bacteria
Description: partial 16S ribosomal RNA
Rfam family: Bacterial small subunit ribosomal RNA
Source: RNAcentral